RNAcentral lists this ribosomal RNA (501 nucleotides) under uncultured bacterium. RNAcentral describes it as "partial 16S ribosomal RNA". It matches the Rfam family "Bacterial small subunit ribosomal RNA", at positions 30 to 523 of the family's 1533-position model. The record is from RNAcentral.
AUUGAACGCUGGCGGCAGGCUUAACACAUGCAAGUCGAGCGGGGGAAGGUAGCUUGCUACUGGACCUAGCGGCGGACGGGUGAGUAAUGCUUAGGAAUCUGCCUAUUAGUGGGGGACAACAUCUCGAAAGGGAUGCUAAUACCGCAUACGUCCUACGGGAGAAAGCAGGGGAUCUUCGGACCUUGCGCUAAUAGAUGAGCCUAAGUCGGAUUAGCUAGUUGGUGGGGUAAAGGCCUACCAAGGCUACGAUCUGUAGCGGGUCUGAGAGGAUGAUCCGCCACACUGAGACUGGGGCACGGCCCAGACUCCUACUGGAGGCAGCAGUGGGGAAUAUUGGACAAUGGGGCGAACCCUGAUCCAGCUAUGCCGCGUGUUUGAAAAAGGCCUUAUGGUUGUAAAGCACUUUAAGCGAGGAGGAGGCUCUUUUGGUUAAUACCCAAGAUAAGUGGACGUUACUCGCAGAAUAAGCACCGGCUAACUCUGUGCCAGCCGCCGCGGUAA